Molecule: ribosomal RNA, 431 nt
Filed under: Lachnodacnum luederwaldti
Lineage: Eukaryota; Metazoa; Arthropoda; Insecta; Coleoptera; Hydrophilidae
Description: partial 16S ribosomal RNA
Source: RNAcentral
CUCACCAAAAAAAUUACGCUGUUAUCCCUAAGGUAAUUUAAUCUUUCAAUCAAAAAAAAUGGAUCAAAUAAUCAUAAAUAAAAGUACUAAUAAAUUAAAAGUUAUAUAAAUUUUAAAAUCACCCCAACAAAAUACUACUAAAAAUUCUAAUUAAUAAAUUCUUAAAAACUAAAAAAUAAAUAAUAUAAAACUCUAUAGGGUCUUCUCGUCCCAUAAAAACAUUUGAGCUUUUUAACUCAAUAAUAAAAUUCUUAUAAAAUUAAAUAAACAAAGCUAUUUUCUCAUUAAACCAUUCAUACAAGUCUUCAAUUAAAAAACUAAUGAUUAUGCUACCUUUGUACAGUCAAAAUACCGCAGCUAUUUACGUUAAUCAUUGAGCAGGUAAAACCUUAAAUAAUUUCCUAAAGGCCAUGUUUUUGUUAAACAGGCGA